This 253-nucleotide ribosomal RNA is filed under the name uncultured bacterium. RNAcentral describes it as "partial 16S ribosomal RNA". It matches the Rfam family "Bacterial small subunit ribosomal RNA", at positions 524 to 776 of the family's 1533-position model. The record is from RNAcentral.
UACGUAGGGGGCUAGCGUUGUCCGGAAUCAUUGGGCGUAAAGAGCGUGUAGGCGGCCCGGUAAGUCCGCUGUGAAAGUCGGGGGCUCAACCCUCGAAUGCCGGUGGAUACUGUCGGGCUAGAGUGCGGAAGAGGCGAGUGGAAUUCCUGGUGUAGCGGUGAAAUGCGCAGAUAUCAGGAGGAACACCGAUUGCGAAGGCAGCUCGCUGGGACGUAACUGACGCUGAGGCGCGAAAGCGUGGGGAGCGAACAGG